UCGAGAAAACAGCCGGCGAUGCAC
This 24-nucleotide non-coding RNA is filed under the name Cricetulus griseus (Chinese hamster). Lineage: Eukaryota; Metazoa; Chordata; Mammalia; Rodentia; Cricetidae. The record is from RNAcentral.